RNAcentral lists this ribosomal RNA (478 nucleotides) under uncultured bacterium. Its description in RNAcentral is "partial 16S ribosomal RNA". It matches the Rfam family "Bacterial small subunit ribosomal RNA", at positions 28 to 523 of the family's 1533-position model. The record is from RNAcentral.
GACGAACGCUGGCAGCGUGCUUAACACAUGCAAGUCGAACGGUAAGGCCCUUCGGGGUACACGAGUGGCGAACGGGUGAGUAACACGUGGGUGAUCUGCCCUGCACUUCGGGAUAAGCCUGGGAAACUGGGUCUAAUACCGGAUAGGACCACUGCCUGCAUGGGUGGUGGUGGAAAGCUUUUGCGGUGUGGGAUGGGCCCGCGGCCUAUCAGCUUGUUGGUGGGGUGAUGGCCUCCCAAGGCGACGACGGGUAGCCGGCCUGAGAGGGUGACCGGCCACACUGGGACUGAGAUACGGCCCAGACUCCUACGGGAGGCAGCAGUGGGGAAUAUUGCACAAUGGGCGCAAGCCUGACGCAGCGACGCCGCGUGAGGGAUGACGGCCUUCGGGUUGUAAACCUCUUUCAGCACCGACGAAGCGCAAGUGACGGUAGGUGCAGAAGAAGGACCGGCCAACUACGUGCCAGCCGCCGCAGUAA